AUUGAACGCUGGCGGCAUGCUUUACACAUGCAAGUCGAACGGCAGCGGGGUAGUGCUUGCACUACUGCCGGCGAGUGGCGAACGGGUGAGUAAUAUAUCGGAACGUACCGAGUAAUGGGGGAUAACCAAUCGAAAGAUUGGCUAAUACCGCAUACGUCCUAAGGGAGAAAGCGGGGGAUCGCAAGACCUCGCGUUAUUCGAGCGGCCGAUAACUGAUUAGCUAGUUGGUGGGGUAAAGGCCUACCAAGGCGACGAUCAGUAGCGGGUCUGAGAGGACGAUCCGCCACACUGGGACUGAGACACGGCCCAGACUCCUACGGGAGGCAGCAGUGGGGAAUUUUGGACAAUGGGGGCAACCCUGAUCCAGCCAUGCCGCGUGUAUGAAGAAGGCCUUCGGGUUGUAAAGUACUUUUGUUAGGGAAGAAAAGGGAAGUGCUAAUACCACUUUUUGCUGACGGUACCUAAAGAAUAAGCACCGGCUAACUACGUGCCAGCAGCCGCGGUAAUACGUAGGGUGCGAGCGUUAAUCGGAAUUACUGGGCGUAAAGCGAGCGCAGACGGUUAUUUAAGCAGGAUGUGAAAUCCCCGGGCUUAACCUGGGAACUGCGUUCUGAACUGGAUAGCUAGAGUGUGUCAGAGGGGGGUAGAAUUCCACGUGUAGCAGUGAAAUGCGUAGAGAUGUGGAGGAAUACCGAUGGCGAAGGCAGCCCCCUGGGAUAACACUGACGUUCAUGCUCGAAAGCGUGGGUAGCAAACAGG
Molecule: ribosomal RNA, 759 nt
Filed under: uncultured Eikenella sp.
Lineage: Bacteria; Pseudomonadati; Pseudomonadota; Betaproteobacteria; Neisseriales; Neisseriaceae
Description: bacterial SSU rRNA
Rfam family: Bacterial small subunit ribosomal RNA
Source: RNAcentral